This is a long non-coding RNA of Scylla paramamosain (green mud crab), 2118 nucleotides long. RefSeq lists it as uncharacterized. The transcript is spliced from 3 exons. Lineage: Eukaryota; Metazoa; Arthropoda; Malacostraca; Decapoda; Portunidae. The record is from RefSeq and is a predicted model, not a curated record.
UUCAUAUGUUCGAUAUUUGUAAAGUUACGUGUGCAAUCUGUUUCCUUCUAUUGUUGUUAUUUUGUAAUACUGGGGGUUCUAAUUUUGCUACCAUACAUGUCUACACCCCUGCGCUCCGCCUGGCCCGGGUGGGUACAACGAUGGUUUGGCCAGGAGCACCUUUGGGUGUCCAUCGCAUAUAAAACUUGCGAUUUCAGUGUGGGAAACGCCUCACUGCAGGGAACUUCUGACGGCGCAUCUGUUAUCCUGUGAAAUUUCUUCGUCAGACUCACCGCUUUGCCAGAUUUUGCAUAUUUUGACUUACCCGCAUGUGAGCGAAGGUUUCCGGCUCAUUUAAAUUUAAUUUGAUCAUGGAGGCUGGUGUAUGUUACAAAAAUAAGGAUUGCCUUGGUCCUCUUUAAAGCUUAACUUGAUUAAGUAAGAGCAAGAAUGAUGAUACACAUUUUGAAUCGUUUUCGUGCAAGUAUGAUGCAAUAUUGCGCAAUGCUAAAAGUUUCCCCUGCCAAGAACAUCAGUAAGAACGGCGGGCUCCGUAUCAUCCGGUCUGCGACGCGUUGAAAAAUUAGAACCUAACCAACCGCAGCUUAAAGCACCUAUUACUUGUUUAUUUAUCCAUUUAUCUAUUUACAUUUUUUGCGGUUAUAGCCAUACUAGGAAUGAGGCCAGCUUCAUUUAUGACAUUUUUCUUUGCUUUGGCCUCCCUUAUCGCCACGCCCACCCUGACAGUGAUAGCACAGAUAGCAGCCUGCUUUGUGUGGCGCGCUGUACUUCCCUUCAGGCGCCACGGGGGAGGCGAGCCCGGGGCGGGAGGUAUUGUCAAUGAUUUUUUGUUUCUCCUCGUUUUAAUAAGUUGAUAAUGUAACGCUGGUAUAAUGGAUCUCUCUCUCUCUCUCUGUCUCUCUCUCUCUCUCUCUCUCUCUCUCUCUCUGAUUAUUUUUAUCGUGUGUGUGUGUGUGUGUGUGUGUGUGUGUGUGUGUGUUUGAUAAGAAGCUCCACUACACACUGACCUACCUAUCCACAGCCACAACCACCCACUAAUCUAUCCACCCGUUUAUCCACAGUCCCUCCAUUAACUUAUUCACUCAUUCAUACUCAUCCAUCCAACCACUUUCCCAUCCAUCCACCCACUUACUUACCUACACCAAACCCGCCAUCCACACCUCAUCCACACGCCUUAUCACCCAUACCCUUCACUCACCCAGCCACUCAGCGAUCCACCGACUCAAUAUUCACCCAUUCAUAACCUAAAACACUAGUUAAGUUAGACAAACCACAUCAUUGAAGGUAAAUAUUAACAGAGGUUAGAAAUAAGAAUAUAGAAGAACAGACACGUCAAAUAUAAACCGUAUUACGUCAACUCACAAACAUCUUAGUCAAAAAUACAACAAAAUAAUAAGUGAACAGAAAAUAUAUAUUGUGUAAAAUCAGAAAAUUGAAGAGUUAACACAUAUUUGGCAACACUUCUUCCUGCUCGGACCGUCCACGCAGAGCCGCAGAGGACCAGAGAGAGCGACGGAAGGAGGUAGUGAUGGUGCUGGUAGGCAAAAACUCUUAUUUCCGGCAGUUUCUCAAGGUUCCGGGUGUCGCAUGAAGGAGUACGAACAAAGGGUGUUCUACUACUACUACUAGUACUACUGCUACUGCUACUACUACUACUACUACUACUAAUACUACUACUACUACUCUCUCCAAACAGCCAGAGCCGCGUAGACCUACAAGUCUUUGGUCUUCCUUUGUGUUCUCCUUUAGAAGAUCCGAGGACGAGACAAGAGGACACACGUCGUUUUCUUCACGAGACACCGAGACGAAGGAAAAGAAAACGGGAGGCGAUCUUGAAGCAAACUCAACUAAAUUGAGCACUUUGGCUAUUUACACACACACACACACACACAGUAGCAGUAGUGGUGGUAGUACUAAUUGUUGUUCCUAGGCUUACGGUAUCCAAAACACACACACACACACACACACACACACACACACACACACACACACACAGUAGUAACUUGUUCCUAGGCCUACAAUAUCCAAAAUCCAUGAUCUUUACCAUUAUAUUACGCUCGUGUUUACAAUUAAGGGGUUUGUGUAUUAGUUAAAGCUUAUGCCAAUUGCUGCUAUUAU